AAAGUAUAAGUAUUCAAAACUUAUAUAUGCUCAAAAUAGGUUGAGCGUUUCUACCAACUACCGUAAUAGUUGACUAUAAGUUUUCACAAUCAGUAC
Clostridiales bacterium is the source of this 96-nucleotide non-coding RNA. Lineage: Bacteria; Bacillati; Bacillota; Clostridia; Eubacteriales. The record is from Rfam.